Non-coding RNA from Podospora conica, 131 nucleotides. The record is from the annotation of a GenBank genome assembly. NCBI's taxonomy places the organism in Eukaryota, Fungi, Ascomycota, Sordariomycetes, Sordariales, Podosporaceae.
GCCCGACUGGCGCAAUUGGCUAGCGCAUACGACUUCUACAAGAACUCUUCAAAAAACCUGACCAUUCCGAAUGGAAAAGGGAAGUGGAUCGAGAGAUCGUGAGGUUGUGGGUUCGAGUCCCACGUGGGGCU